Molecule: small nuclear RNA, 163 nt
Organism: Hemibagrus wyckioides
Lineage: Eukaryota; Metazoa; Chordata; Actinopteri; Siluriformes; Bagridae
Product: U1 spliceosomal RNA
Exons: 1
Source: RefSeq, a predicted model, not a curated record
UAACCAACCUGGCAGGGGCAAUACCAUGAUCAAGGAGGUGGUUUGCCCAAAGUGAGGCUCAGCCGUUGCACUCAGACUGCGCUGACCUUUGCGAAUUCCCCAAAUCAGGAAUCUCGACUGCAUAAUUUCUGAUUGUGGGGUACUGCGUUCGCGCUCUCCCCUU